UUGGAGGGCAAGUCUGGUGCCAGCAGCCGCGGUAAUUCCAGCUCCAAUAGCGUAUAUUAAAGUUGUUGCAGUUAAAAAGCUCGUAGUUGAAUUUCGGGGUCAGCAGGUCGGUCGUGCCUACGGUAUGCACUGGCCUUGCUGUAUCCUCCCUCUUGAUGAGCCGUAAUGUCAUUAAUUUGGUGUUGCGGGGAAUCAGGACUGUUACUUUGAAAAAAUUAGAGUGUUUAAAGCAGGCAUGCGCUUGAAUACAUUAGCAUGGAAUAAUGAAAUAGGACGUUUGAUCUUAUUUUGUUGGUUUCUAGGAUUGACGUAAUGAUUAAUAGGGAUAGUUGGGGGCAUUAGUAUUCAAUUGUCAGAGGUGAAAUUCUUGGAUUUAUUGAAGACUAACUACUGCGAAAGCAUUUGCCAAGGAUGUUUUCAUUAAUCAAGAACGAAAGUUAGGGGAUCGAAGACGAUCAGAUACCGUCGUAGUCUUAACCAUAAACUAUGCCGACUAGGGAUCGGAUGAUGUUAAUUUUUUAAUGACUCAUUCGGCGCCUUACGGGAAACCAAAGUGUUUGGGUUC
This 565-nucleotide ribosomal RNA is filed under the name uncultured Glomeromycotina. RNAcentral's name for it is "SSU rRNA". It matches the Rfam family "Eukaryotic small subunit ribosomal RNA", at positions 548 to 1114 of the family's 1831-position model. Lineage: Eukaryota; Fungi; Glomeromycota. The record is from RNAcentral.